Non-coding RNA from Xyrichtys novacula (pearly razorfish), 5205 nucleotides. The record is from the annotation of a GenBank genome assembly. NCBI's taxonomy places the organism in Eukaryota, Metazoa, Chordata, Actinopteri, Labriformes, Labridae.
CUGAAUGUCUUUGUUUGUUCGGUGGCAUUUGGGUUUGAGUAAAGUUGCUGUUGCUCUUCAGGAAGACUCUAGACUCUGUGCUGUAAGCAUGAAUAUAUUUCUCUCAGCUGCUGGCAAAAUUCAAAGUCAACACUUAAAACUACUGGAAAGCUAGCGAUGUAGAUAUUAACAGUGGGUUCAGAAACAACUAGCAUUAUUUAAGCUAGCAAGUAUAGCUAUAGAGUAUAGCUAACACUGUGAAUAUGCAAAGCUGCUAUUUGCAACAAUAUAAAGAUACAAGUAAUAAUAAAAAUAUUCAUAGUUACAAAAGUUAAGAUAUAGACCCACCAGUGGUAACAACAGCAAGUUCAGAAACAACUAGCAUUAUCUAAGCUAGCAAGUAUAGCUAUAGAGUAUAGCUAACACUGUUAUUAUGCAAAGCUGCUAUUUGCAACAAUGUAAAGAUACAAGUUAUAAUACAAAGAUUCAUAGUUACAAAAGUUAAGAUAUAGACUAGGGCCCGACCGAUUUAUCGGCAAGCCGAUUGAAUCAGACAGUUUUAGGCCGUUUGAGACUAAUCGGUAAUCGGCCAAAACUCGCUGAUUUUCGCCGAUAUUUUCAGAAAUAAAAUGCAGAGAGUAGGAUUUGGUUUCACUUCAAAAAUGUUCUGCCAUUUGAAAAGUUCCCUGACCUAUACUGUAGAUGGCGCAGCGACCUCAUGACAAUCUUCAUCCACUAAUCUAUCUAUUUUUUAUCUAUUUUAUCUAUAUCUAUUUUUUCAUAACUACAUUAAAAACUACAUUUAAAAAAUCAGCCGAUUAAUCAGUAAUCAGAUUUUUUCCCCCCUAAUAAUCGGAAUCGGCAUCGGCCCCAAAAAAUCCAUAUCGGUCGGGCCCUAAUAUAGACCCACCAGCGGUAACAACAGCGAGUUAAGAAACAACUAGCAUUUUUUAAGCUAGCAAGUAUUGCUAUAGAGUAUAGCGAACACUGUUAAUAUGCAAAGCUGCUUUUUUAAACAAUAUAAAGAUACAAGUAAGUAAAGAUAUAGACCCACCAGUGGUAACAUUUAGAGCUACUUAAGUCAACAUUUAAAGGUUUCUUUUUUGCCAAUAUUUCAAGAAUUCAAUCAUAGACUCAAAGCUACCAGUUUGGAUAUUUAAAUCUACACUUAAGUCAGUUAACUUUUGCUAACAUAUAAAGGUUUUGGCCUUAAUUUUUUGCCACUGUUAACAAGUUUUUUUGAAUAUGUGACAAGUGGAGGAAUAAUGUCAAAAUCCUUUGUGUUAAAUAAAGGUUCAACAAACCAAGAGAGAUGCUAAUGUCACUCUCCAAGUGUCGUCCCUAGCUUGUUCACUCCAGGAAUUUCCUGAGUAAGAGGAAGUUGUCGAGUGUAUCACCAACAGACGUCAGGGGCUCUCCCUGACUUUCCAGGAGCUAUUGUCCUCGCCGCACAUUUCACAUUAGCCCAGGCUCUGUGUGUGCUGCUCACACGGCUCAGCGGUGUUAGUGGGUAAAAUGAGUUUACCCGGCGCUCCACUGAGCAAACAAUAAAGAGGACACAGAGGCGUUUUACAGGUCAGCUUGUGUAAAUAAUGGUGUGGAAGGUGUGAGCUUGUUUGUCUAAACUGUAGCCUGUGGCACAGAGUGGAAAAUAGCAUGGCAGGACCCCCCUCUAUUUCAUUGAUACCUCUCAUUUGUGAUAUUAUCUCCAGAGCUGCUGUAAUGGAUUCAUUUUGAUGCAUGUGCUCUUGUGAGGAUCACUACAGAUGCUUCUGAAUGGAGUUUCCCAUAAUGUGGAAAAGUAAGCAGGGGGAAACACAGCGAGCUGAGACUGUAAUUAUGUUUACCAGGAUAAAAACCCUACUUUUGGCUUGUUGUAGUACCACAGUAAACAUUUUCCUAAUGUCUUUAUGCUCUCAUUUGCUACUUUAAUAUCUUCCUAAAUACCACAGGAUGCUCAUUUUGGAAAUUAAGGUCUCAUUUAGAGUCAAAUAGAUGAUACAGAGGGGUACGCUUGGGGCUGCAUGCGGAGAAGUCCACUGCGCUGCAACCUGUCAACCAAUCUCCACACAGAUCUACCAAGAAACCCAGCAAAUGGUACAAGACAAGCUUAAAUCAAAAUUUGACACUCUUUGUUUGAAAAUCACGGAUGCUGCAUCCUCUAUGCAUAUGUAAGUCGUCGCAUAUUUCAGCAAGGCAAUGCCAAAUUACAUUCUGAAUGUUUUACAACAGCACGGCUCUGUAGUAGAAGAGUCCUGGUGCCAAACUGGAAACCCUGCAGUCAUUGCUAAACCCCAAGACCCGAGCUGGAAUCCCAUUUUAGGCAAGAAUGGGAAAACAUAUAACUCUCAAAACUCCAAAAACUGAUCUACUAAGUGUGAUGCAAGCCAUGCUAAGAGACCAAUGUGGCCCACAGACUCAUUAUUAUGACACAUACUCUUCUUUGCCUCCAACUCCCUGAAGUCACUGUCAAACAAUUGCAUUAACUUUAUGAAAAAAUAAAAAUACUCUGCUGAUUUCUGACCUUUUCCUCUAAGUUAAUGCAAUUGGAGGCAGGUUCAGCGUUUAAAUGUGCUCACUGACCCUCCAUUGUUCUCAUACAAGACUUUACGUGACAUUUCCAACGAUCGAUACUGAAACUCAGUGUGUCUGGAGGUUUCGCUGCCCGGCUGAAAUGCACCACAAAGGUUGGGGACCAACUAUUGCAUUAACCUAUAUCAAGGGCAGGGUUUGCUCUUCUUGUGUGUGGUUUUUGUCCCCUCAUUGUGAUGCUGGAUUUACACUUGUGAUCUGGUGUAGCAGCUUAAACAGCUCAGUCCUGUUUCCCCCAACCCCCCUAAAAGGCACCUUGGAUAGACUUCAGUGAGAAGCAGAAAAUGGUUACUCAUUCAAUUUUCCCUCAUGGGCCCUGGAAUCUGAACCGCUGACCUUCCUUUGCAAGACCACUCCACUCUCCUUUAGGGCCAACACUGCCCCACUUUCUUACAAAACAUCAGGCCAGAGUUGGUUCAGAGUGUUGCAGUUUUUUUGCUGCUAACACUGCAGCUGCACUCGUACGAGCGGGCGGUCUUUCGGCUCCACGAUCCCAUGAGGAUCUUUACAGCCGAGUCACAGCUCAGAAAUAGAGCAGACUUCAAAAAAAGAUAGAGCCGUGGCACUCCAGGGGGAGCUGUGCAUGGAUUCUAUAGGCAUUGUAAUGAAAGGGAGUGUGUGGUACGCAAACUCAGGGAUAUUUCAGUUUAAAACAAACAGGUAAUGGCAGCAUUUUGGGAAUCUAUCAAUAGAAGUAAGCAUCAAUAAACAUAUAUACAGUAAAACCCUAACAAGAACCAAAGACUGUAGUCAAAUCAUAUGAUUUUUUUUAUCAUCCUGUGUUAUUCUAAGCUCAAUAGAGGCCUUUUCACAUCCAUUCUUAGUAUAUAUAUGCAUGGUUAGUGAUGUAAAAGGUCUCCUCUUUGUGUCUUUGAGUUUAAAGGAUCAAUACUCAAACUAUCCAGCAGAUGUCACUGUUAAGUUUCAGGAGAAAGAGCAUACAGACAGCAGUGAUUUCAUCAUGGGAGGUAGCAGGCAACACAAUGUCCUCUGAACCUCUCUAAACAAAGACAUGUUUCACGGUUAUUUAUGUUCAUACACUACAAAUAUUCAAAUUUUAACAAAUUUAUGCAACAUGUGUAGUUAAAUGUCUUUUGCUGAGCAAAAAUAAAGACCUGUAUUAUAUAAAAUUAGCAUUUCAAGGACUAUGAGUGAAUUAAUUUCCUGUGUUGUAGAUUAUUUACACAUUACAAGCAAUUUGGGUCACAUUUUUUUGCAUGUAGCGCCUUAAAAAUGGACAUUUAUUUGGAUUCAGUUGAAGGAGGGAGAUUUAUUUGGACUAAAAGGCACAAAAAACUUGUUUUGUUUGAGUUAAACGGUGAAUUCAAUAUCUGAGUUGAUCAAAAAGACAAAAAACAAAGAACUUAAUCUCUUUAAUUGGGUUGGUGUGCAGAUGUGUAGUACCCUUACUUUUAAAGUUAACCCCUUGCAGGCACUUUUUUUAAACAUGCUGGGACUAUUUAGGAGCGGCAACUACCUUUUCCUGCCCUCUCAGUAUUACAGUUCCUGAUGUACACCCUUUCUAAAACUUAGGGUAAGGCAGUGGUUCUCAAGUCCAGUCCUUGAGGUCCACUGUCCUGCAUGUUUUGGAUGUUUCCCUGCUCCAACACACCUGAUUCAAAUGAUUAGCUCGUUAGUAAGCCACUACAGAGCUUGAUAACGAGCUGAUCAUUUGAAUCAGGUGUGCUGGAGCAGAGAAACAUCCAAAACAUGCAGGACAGUGGGCCUCAAGGACUGGACUUAAGAACCACUGGGGUAAGGACCCAGUGGCGAGUUUUAUUGGGUCGCAAAGACAGAAGUCUUCAACUGGGGAUGCCAAACAAACCAUUGCAAUGGAGAAGAAAGCUUUAAUUGACCGUUUGUAAUAUGUUUUAAUGAAUAAAAUUUUGAUCUGGAGAUUUUAUUUUGGGGUCUUCUACAUGACAUGAUCUCUUGUUCCUCCCCUAAUAUACAUUCCCAAUGGCAUGCUUUCGUGGGUGUAACGCCACUGCACUUGUCUGUUUUUGCUGUAGAAUAAUAUAAUUUUGAAUAAAUGCACGCUGUGUUACUCAGCAUUAUUCUCUGAGAUCUUAUAUUCACUGUAGAAAUACACAAGGUAAGACUUAUGAUUUACUGAUACCGACCCAAUCAUACACGAUUGAAUAAGGGGAGAACCGCCACUUCCUUUAUCAACUAUUUUCAACUUAAAAUGAGAAAUUCCAGGAAUGAAAUGCAGGCCGUCUGACUCUGAGUCAUGAUUAUCACAGGGUUUUUCCUGCGUUCAAAAUUGCGUGGCGGCCGCCUCCACCUAAUUUUGGGCCGCCCCCAGCAAGAGCGAUUGAUUUCGCUCAACACAGCGUAAAGCUCCAGCUGUGUUGAUUGAGCGAUUGAUGUCCCUCUGCAGCAGCAACGUAUUUUAACUGCAGUUGCAGCGUUGCGCCACUGUAGAGGCGCUAUAUCAACAGCAGUGCACCGGAAAGACCUGAAGCAUCUACCGAAGAAGAAACGGAUCGAAUCAUGUUUUUUCAAGUUUUUUUCCCGCUAGUUGGUGCUAUCGGCGUCCUGAUUUUCCCUGGCGGAUGGUACAAACAGGUAAAUACUGCUUGUCUUUUUUACAUCCGAGCAUGAUUUAUUUAAAAAAAAAAAGUUUCCUCC